CUGCUGCCUCCCGUAGGAGUCUGGGCCGUGUCUCAGUCCCAAUGUGGCCGUCCACUCUCUCAAGCCGGCUACUGAUCGCUGCCUUGGUGGGCCGUUACCCCGCCAACUAGCUAAUCAGACGCGGGCCCAUCCUGUACCACCGGAGUUUUCCCCGCAGCGCCAUGCGGCGCCGCGGGCUUAUGCGGUAUUAGCAGCCGUUUCCGGCUGUUGUCCCCCUGUACAGGGCAGGUUACCCACGCGUUACUCACCCGUCCGCCACUGGG
This 263-nucleotide ribosomal RNA is filed under the name uncultured bacterium. Its description in RNAcentral is "partial 16S ribosomal RNA". The record is from RNAcentral.